AACGCAAAUUGCACUUCCUGGCAUCCCGGGGAGUAUGCCUGUUUGAGGGUUGGUUUAAAUAACAAUCGAUAUUGUUGCUUUUUGUGACGUGUCGGAGCUGGGUUAUCUUAUUCCUUGGUGGCUUUUAAGAGACCUAAAAUUGAUGUUUUUCUGCGUGUCUCGACGUGUAUAAUUUUUUUUAUCCCGUCACCGGACGCUCAGGUAUUAUUAGGCGUGGCUAUGUUAAGUGGUAUCAUGCCUAUAGGAUUUUCUUGAUUUCAACCUCAAAUCAGGUAGGGACACCCGCUGAACUUAA
This 295-nucleotide unclassified non-coding RNA is filed under the name uncultured fungus. Its description in RNAcentral is "sequence contains ITS2". The record is from RNAcentral. Lineage: Eukaryota; Fungi.